Contarinia nasturtii (swede midge) is the source of this 193-nucleotide small nuclear RNA. RefSeq annotates it as U12 minor spliceosomal RNA. Lineage: Eukaryota; Metazoa; Arthropoda; Insecta; Diptera; Cecidomyiidae. The transcript has a single exon. The record is from RefSeq and is a predicted model, not a curated record.
GUGCCUUAAACUAAUGAGUAAGGAAAAUAAUUGAGGUUUGGUGAUGCUUACCUCGGCUUGCCAUAUUGCAAUCAUUGCAACGGCGUAAGCUUUUGCAAUGAGCUAAGCAUAUAUUUUUGCAAGGGUAAAGGUCGUCCAAUUGAGGUACGCUCGCCUACUUUGCGAGAAAUCUCUUGUGACAGCGAUCUGCCCA